RNAcentral lists this ribosomal RNA (468 nucleotides) under uncultured bacterium. RNAcentral's name for it is "partial 16S ribosomal RNA". It matches the Rfam family "Bacterial small subunit ribosomal RNA", at positions 28 to 507 of the family's 1533-position model. The record is from RNAcentral.
GACGAACGCUGGCGGCGUGCUUAACACAUGCAAGUCGAACGGAAAGGCCCUGCUUUUGUGGGUUGCUCGAGUGGCGAACGGGUGAGUAACACGUGAGUAACCUGCCCUUGACUUUGGGAUAACUUCAGGAAACUGGGGCUCAUACCGGAUAGGAGCUCCUGCUGCAUGGUGGGGGUUGGAAAGUUUCGGCGGUUGGGGAUGGACUCGCGGCUUAUCAGCUUGGUGGUGGGGUAGUGGCUUACCAAGGCUUUGACGGGUAGCCGGCCUGAGAGGGUGACCGGCCACAUUGGGACUGAGAUACGGCCCAGACUCCUACGGGAGGCAGCAGUGGGGAAUAUUGCACAAGGAUCGGAAGCCUGAUGCAGCACCGCCGCGUGCGGGAUGACGGCCUUCGGGUUGUAAGCCGCUUUCGCCUGUGACGAAGCGUGAGUGACGGUAAUGGGUAAAGAAGCACGGGCUAACUACGUG